GAUGAACGCUAGCGGCAGGCCUAACACAUGCAAGUCGAGGGAGAAGCCUUUCGGGGCAGAAACCGGCGCACGGGUGCGUAACGCGUAUGCAACCUACCUUUCACAGGGGGAUAGCCCGAAGAAAUUUGGAUUAAUACCCCAUAAUAUUGUUGGAUGGCAUCAUCUGAUAAUUAAAACUGCGGUGGUGAAAGAUGGGCAUGCGUCCUAUUAGCUAGUUGGAGUGGUAACGGCACCCCAAGGCUACGAUAGGUAGGGGUCCUGAGAGGGAGAUCCCCCACACUGGUACUGAGACAGGGACCAGACUCCUACGGGAGGCAGCAGUGAGGAAUAUUGAUCAAUGGUCGGAAGACUGAACCAGCCAUGCCGCGUGCAGGAAGAAUGCCUUAUGGGUUGUAAACUGCUUUUAUAUGGGAAGAAUAAGGUGUACGUGUACAUUGAUGACGGUACCAUAUGAAUAAGCAUCGGCUAACUCCGUG
Molecule: ribosomal RNA, 476 nt
Filed under: uncultured bacterium
Lineage: Bacteria
Description: partial 16S ribosomal RNA
Rfam family: Bacterial small subunit ribosomal RNA
Source: RNAcentral